UUAACAUCAAUGCGCCAAUUUUGUAAAAUUUUUUCAUAAAUUUCCAAUUCUAAAACUCAGAUUACUUUGGAGUUUAGAUUACCUCCCUUGGCUUAAAGAUCACGUAGGAAUAUAUGUGCCGGGGUUUGCUGUGUUCAUUUAUCAGUUGAUACAGACGACGUUUUUGAUAAUGGCCUGUGACAGGAUAGAACGCUGCGGAUUGGAUAUCGUCAUCGCAUGCAUUCGAUUGCAAAGAAACAUGGUAUUGUCUCCAAUUAGCGGAGAACUUGAUUAUCUCAAAAAAUAUUUGGAAAAACUAGCUCCAAAAUUCACUUUGGCUGGCUGCAUACUCGUCAACAGACAAACUUUAGCGUCACUUAUUCCAUUAAUAGCUUCAUAUCUUAUAGUCAUAAUACAACAGCAAUAAGUGGUGAACGGAUCAAGAAAAAAUAAACGUGUUUUGAAAAUAUAUGCAAUCGGAUAUGGGAUAAUAUAAAUAUCCAAAUAUCGGAAUAAAUGUAAAUAAUCAGCUUUCCACUCAUUACCAAAGUUUGAACUUAUUUUUGCACUGUUGCCGUGAAGAAACAUUUCAGAUUUCAAAAAAUCAACAAUUGUGAAUUACAACAAAUUUGACACUUUUAGGACUAUCAUUGAGGUAAAGUCACUAAUGCGCAUGGCCACUGUCCACUAUGUAAUGUUUCUGGAUUUCCAUAAAUGAUACGA
RNAcentral lists this unclassified non-coding RNA (702 nucleotides) under Leptinotarsa decemlineata (Colorado potato beetle). RNAcentral's name for it is "uncharacterized LOC111512853, transcript variant X1". Lineage: Eukaryota; Metazoa; Arthropoda; Insecta; Coleoptera; Chrysomelidae. The record is from RNAcentral.